RNAcentral lists this small nuclear RNA (280 nucleotides) under Sus scrofa (pig). Its description in RNAcentral is "7SK RNA (ENSSSCG00070005105.1)". It matches the Rfam family "7SK RNA". From Rfam's summary of the family: 7SK was discovered as an abundant small nuclear RNA in the mid-70s but a possible function has only recently been suggested. Lineage: Eukaryota; Metazoa; Chordata; Mammalia; Artiodactyla; Suidae. The record is from Rfam by way of RNAcentral.
GGAUAUGAGGGUGAUCUGGCUGUGACAUCUGUCACCCCAUUGAUUGCCAGGGUUGAUUCAGCUGAUCUGGCUGGCUAGGCGGGUGUCCCUUUCCUCCCUCAAUGCUCCAUGUGUGUCCCGCCCCCCUGGAAGAUGCAUGCUCGGUCGAAAAGGACAACCAUCCUAAUAGAGGAGGACCAUUCUUCGGUCAAGGGUAUACAAGUAGCUGCACUCCCUUGCUAAAGCCUCCAAACAAGCUCUCAAGGUCCAUUAGAGGGCAGGAUGGGCCAGAUCAGGAGAG